Molecule: long non-coding RNA, 359 nt
Filed under: Pan troglodytes (chimpanzee)
Lineage: Eukaryota; Metazoa; Chordata; Mammalia; Primates; Hominidae
Description: long non-coding RNA NONPTRT018006
Source: RNAcentral
CAGCCACUCCUCGGAACGGCCACCUCCCAGGCAAGGAUAUCCUGAAGGAUACUAUAGUUCCAAAAGUGGAUGGAGCAGUCAGAGCGAUUACUAUGCAAGCUAUUACUCCAGCCAGUACGAUUAUGGAGAUCCAGGUCACUGGGAUCGUUACCACUACAGUGCUAGAGUCAGGGACCCCCGCACCUAUGACCGGAGGUAUUGGUGUGAUGCAGAGUAUGACGCAUACAGGAGAGAGCACUCUGCCUUCGGGGACAGGUUGGUGGAGCACCCCUGGGGAGGCAGAGGCUGGGGGCAGCCAGGGCGCGCCAGUGCUUCUCUGCCCUCAUGUCUGGGUUUUAACAAAGAGCUGUGGUAGUUUG